UACGUAGGCAGCGAGCGUUGUUCGGAGUUACUGGGCGUAAAGGGGGUGUAGGCGGUUCUUUAAGUUUGGUGUGAAAUCUCCCGGCUCAACUGGGAGGGUGCGCCGAAUACUGAGGGACUAGAGUGCGGGAGAGGAAAGUGGAAUUCCUGGUGUAGCGGUGAAAUGCGUAGAUAUCAGGAGGAACACCGGUGGUGUAGACGGCUUUCUGGACCGUAACUGACGCUGAGACACGAAAGCGUGGGUAGCAAACAGG
Molecule: ribosomal RNA, 253 nt
Filed under: uncultured bacterium
Lineage: Bacteria
Description: partial 16S ribosomal RNA
Rfam family: Bacterial small subunit ribosomal RNA
Source: RNAcentral